AAAAAAAAAAAAGCAUAUAUUGUCUCUCAUGGUUCAGGAGUCUAGAAGUCUACAGCCUGAAACCGAGGUGUCAGCAGGGUUGGUUCCUUCUGGAGGCUCUGAAGGAAAAACCAUCCCAUGACGUUCUGGUUUCUUUUGGUGGUUGCCAGCAAUCCUUGGCAUUGUUUGACUUGUAGAUGCAUGAUUUCAAUCUCUGUCUCCAUCUUCACGUCACCAUCUUCUCUGAAUCUGUGUGUCCUAUUCUUUUCUCAUAGAGACAUCAGCCACUGAAUUUAAGGCCCAGUCAAAAUCCAGGUUUUAACAAAUUACAAGAUUUUUAACAAAUUACAUAUGCGAAGACUCUGUUUCUAAAUAAGAUCGCACUCUUAGUUUCUGAGUGGGUGCGGAUGCUUUGGAGGACACUCUUCAACCUACUAUGUUGUAGCUCAGCAUUUUUUCUUUUCUUUCUUUCUUUUUUUUUUUUGUUUGAGACAGUUUCGUUCUUGUUGCCCAGGCUGGAGUGCAAUGUUGCAACCUUGGCUCACUGCAAACUCCAUCUCCCGGGCUCAAGCAAUUCUCCUGCCUCAGCCUCCUGAAUAGCAGGGAUUACAAGCAUGCACCCCCAUGACUGGCUAAUUUUGUAUUUUUAGUAGAGAUCGGGUUUCACCAUGUUGGUCAGGUUGGUCUCGAAUCCCUAACCUCAGGUGAUCCACCUGCCUUGGCCACCCAAAGCCCUGAGAUUACAGGCAUGAGCCACUGUGCCUGGCCAGCAUUUUUUCAAAAUGCAAUUUGUGUGGUAACACAUGUUGUGUGGGGUAUUUUUGAAAAAUUAGGUUAAAGGAUUCAAAGCUAUUCUUUUUAUUCCUUUUAUUAGAGCUUUUCCUGAUUUCUCAGGCCUUUUAACACCAAAAUAAUGAUUAUGAUUCUUCACAGGGAAAUGUAAUACUCAGUGGUUUCCAAACUUACUUGAAUGAAGAAUAUUUUUUUUGGUAGCAUACCAAGGAAUAAGUUUUUUUUGUUUGUUUUUUAUUAAUAGGCAGUUCUUUGAGAGAUGAUGGGGAAAUACUGGGAAAGACAAGUCUCAAGUGCUUCAUAGAAUGAAGUUCACUUCAUUUUCUGCCCUCCAGCAUCUCUUAGAAUGCUCGCCUGAACUCUAGUACAACUAGACACAUCUCACAAAGUCCAGUGGAAAGAGCUAAGCUUGUCUGUCUUUGCUUUUUACCUGAUUUCCUGUGGAUACUGUCAAAGUAAUUUUUUUAAUGUGAAGUAUUGGAAACGUUCAUUGUUUCUUUGCAUGAGUUAGGGGGGAUAGGAUGCUUUUCUAGAAUAAUAGUAACUACCAGAUAAUUAGCACACGUAAUAGAGCAGACUUUGAGAUAGUUUAUAAAAUCUUAUUUAAUGAAAUAACAUAAAAUAUUAAUGUAAUUUAAUCCUUUUGAUGUCCCUGUAGGCUUUAAUAUUACUUCCAUUUAACAGAUAAGAAGGUUCAGAGAGCGGUUACUUGCCCAAGUUCACACAGCUGGUAAACUCAGGAGCCCUCACCCCUUAUCACUACGUGGGCUUCCUCUCCACAUAAGUGCACAUUUUGCUAUUUUAUCACCCUGUAUGUGGUGUGUAUGUGUGUGACUUACAUCACUAAGUGUUGUAGAUGCUGCUUUCCUAUUUACUUAUUUACUUUUAAUUUAUGAGCUCCUUAGGUUUCACUAAAUGUGUGUAAUUGACUUGGAGAUAAAAAUGCCCACUUACUGCCUCUCACAACAAUUUGGCUUUAACAAUUUAAACAAUGGCACCCCUGGCAAAUCACAAAGGCCGAUUAGCAAGUUUUCAGGGCUGUGCUUACAAUUGCUGCCACCUCUAUCCCUAUUAUUACAUCCAGAGAAUGGAUGAGGUUAGAGACAAAAUGGUCUAAUUAACCAGGAGCUGCUUCAGUAUCCUCAAUGACCAGCCAAAGAUUAAUCAGAAACCAGGACCUUGCUUUGCAGAUGGGUGAGAGAUGAUGCUGAGAGGUAUGUCAAUGAACAAUGGCACUGCAAUGACUAAUAGCCAAUUAUGUCUAUAACCUGAAACAACUGGUUGAGAAAUUCUCUCAGGCAAACGUGGGCAAUCAAGAGGAGAGCUUGGGAAUUAUCUCUUGUCUCAGAGAUAAUGCUUUUGUAUCUCAAGAGUUUUAGAGAAGCUGACAGAUCCACAAAUGGCAAAAGAUUAAUAAAAAAGUUAAUGAUCUGAAUGCUUUAUUUUUUUCAGUGUUCUACAGGUUUCUUCUCCCACAGCUAUUGAUCACUGAUAGACAUAUGGGAACUCUAACCUGCGCUAGGCUGGGCAGAAAGUUUUAUAGGUGGACAGCUUUUACUUGUGGCUAUUUUUGUUUACCUCUAAAUCUCCAAGACCUGCAAUAAUGCAUGGUAUUUAGUGAUUGCUUGAUACAUAUUUGGCGAAUAAAUAAUCAGAUGAUGUAAAUGGUAGUUUUUAAUAUUAAAAUUACUAAAUUUCCUAUAAACCCAUCACCAGACACUUUAUUGAGUAUGAAGCAUUUAUUUUGUUUUUGCUGUCAUUGUUUUUGGAAGGAAUAUCUUUCGAGGGCCUAUGAUAAGUCAGGUCUUGGUCCAAGAGCUUUGCAUUAUAAUGUCAGUUAACCCUCAUCAUAACACUUCAUUCAUUCAACAACAAAUAUUUAUUGUCUUCCCUCUGCCAGUCACUUUUAGAGACCAAGCAUACAGCAGGAGAUGAAACAAAAACAAAAACAAAAACAAAAAAAUCUCUUCUUCUUAUGGAUCUGAAAAGAAGGAAGUGUUAUCAUUAUCAUCCACUUUUUAUCAGAGCAGUUAAGCCAUUUGCUGAGGUCAGAAGUAUCUUGGCUCCAGAGAAAAUGCAGGCCCCAACUGAAGAGCCUUACUCAAAGCACACUGCCUCUAUCCCAGCCACUAUGCUGAAGGUUUUCUGCACCAUAUUUCAUGUGAUAUUUCUGCAGAGAUUACUACACUAAAGAAGGAAAGAAGGCUCUUACUCUCACGAUGAAUGCUCAGCCUGAGCAAAUGCCAAAUGCUGUUAAGCAAUGCCCAUCUCCAAAACAAAUUCUUUCUGAUUCAGUCACCAAGGUUAAAGGAGGUAUUUCCAUAACCACAAGCAAAUUAGUCUAGUUUUGCAUUAACAAUAAUGAGAUGGGGCAAUAAGAACCUAACCUUUCAUUGUCUCUUUUUGCUUUAUGACAAAGACAGCACUUUUUCAUACUGGACAAGAAAGGAAUUACUUGCUGCUGAGUUUUGUGCAAGCCUUGUGUUAGCUCAUGAAAAAAUAAAAAUAAAAAAAAAACUUCUCUUUGGCUGCAGAGAUAUCUGGUACAGGUCUCGUAUGGAACACAGAAGGUUUCAGUGAUGUGUCCCAAAAAUGUAGAAAUAAGAUUAUACUAAAGGUGAGAAUAGUAAGAUUCAAUACAUAAUGAAUGAGGUCAACCACCUGUCAAAAUAGCCACAAGAGUUGACUAUAAAUAUAUGCCUGAAAAUGUUUGGAGACACUCAGUUUCAUUCAAAAGGUAAACUAAGAAGGCAGAAUCAGGUGGAGCCUAAACAAAGGCUAUGAGUUUAAUCAGUUACUCUUUACUAAAAAGUCAAUUAACUAUAAAGAUGUCUGUAUAGACCCAGAAAAGAAAAGUAAAAGUAAAAAGAACAAGAGUUUGGUAGUGUUUUCACAGCACUCUUUCUAAGGAACAGGGGGAAUUUACAAGUCUUCAUCAAAACUCUAACAAAUAUCUCUCAAGAUUAUUCAUAUUCCAUACUGGCCAACCAACUCCCUGAUACAUAGGUAUUUUUAAAUUUAGGUUUUAUUACUAUUCAGGUAUCAUGAACCCAAGAAAUCAGGAGAAGAUUACCAUUGAAAAGAUGGUUUAUUAUUCACAGGUCCCAAGAGGAGGGGGCAGGACCCACCAUGCAGGGUUUCAGAGGAAUCACCAGGCUCAGUUUAGAGGCAGAGAAAGUGGAGAAAAACAUAGGCAAGAGCCUGUAUAGAGGUUUCCAUGGAAAAGAAUACAAUGUAAGAAGGCUUAGAAAUGGCUAGUUGGAUCAUCUCUUCAGAUUCUGGGGUGCAGAGGCUGUCUUUAGUUGUCUGGAACCUGGCCCCGGAAUAAUUAGGACAAGCUGAACCUGGCGUGGAGUGUAAAGGAUCAGUAAAGGAGAUGGUUGGGAUGUGGGUAGUAGAUUGUUUGAUUUGCCUAUUAAAGGCAUAUGAAAAGGAUGCUGGAAGGGGAGUCUUUUUUUUUAAUCUCUAAGAAUUGCCUAACUUUGGAAAGGGCAGUCUUUCCAGAGUCAGCAAGUCCCUAGAUGUCAAAGCAUCAAAAGUACAGAAAAUAAAAAGACAGGAUUAAUAUAACAUCUCAUGCUGCCAGGUAGCAGGAAAAAAGGAAUAAGAUACAUGUUCUCAAUGGAGUUGACAUCACCCCCAAGGAGGUGAAAAUUGGCUCUGGGGUAUUGGGAGAAAUGAAAGAAAAUGUUACUUUCCAUGUAUAAGGCACAGAAAUACAUAAACAGAUAUAUACAGAUAAACAAUACAAAUGCAGUAUCAAAAUUUCAUUGGCAGUGGUCUCAAAAGUCUCCUUUGUGAGGAGAGGAGGGUGAUAAUGAACUAAAGGUUGAGAACAGGGAAUCCUAGAUAAGAGAUGUAAGUAUAUGGUAAAUGAAAAAAGAAAACAGCAGAUUACAAUAAUACAUUAUUAGCAUAUUAAUAUAUUAAUGUAAGUAAAUAUAUCAUUUUUCUGAUUUAUAUGUAAAUGUUUUCUAAAUUUUCUUUGCAAGUUUUUCUCCAUAAAGAUCUGAUCCACUCUGAGAAUGCUAAGAAAACCCAGUCUCCCAAGUCCACAGAGCUAAGAAUCAGAUUCUGAAGUGAGGAGUCUGAGAACAUGAUGCCCUGUACAGUUCAUCUUGGCAUUUUAAAAAGAUCACAACAUUAGCACACACAUGAAGAUAAGAAGAAAAGAGGCCAUGCCUGCGGAAUUAUGCCAGUGCUUUUCAGGCUCUGUGGAAAGUCAGCUACCUGGAGUACCUCCUUGAAAUCUGGAGAACAAAGAUGCUCAUCAUCAGAUUCCAGUUCUAGUGGGGAAAUAAAGUUACUAAAAGUUCAUGCACAGGGAUGUUGAGCUAGUUUUAUUUUUCUCCCUUGGAUAUUGGGACAAAACAGUGAGUAGAUUCUUCCACAAUUCCUGAACAAGAUGUUUAGAAGAGUAGCUGAAAAUAGUUAAGAAAAUAUUAGUAGAAUGAAUGAAUAUAAAAAUACCUUGAAAUUAUUCAAUAUAUAUUGAAUGCCUAGAAAGAAUAAAGCUUUGAAAAGCAGAACGAUUAAGAAAAAAAAGCACAGUUUCUGAACAAAAUGAAGAGAUGUUCUGUGAUGAGUGUAUGAGGAUAGGGGUUUGGCAGUGACGUUGUCAGAGCGAUGAUAGGCAGAGGAGGUAUUUUAUGAUGGAGUGUAUGGAAAGAAACAAUGUGUGGCAUAGAUACACAUUGAAUAUUCUAUUCAGUAGUUUUUGGUAAAUGUUAUCACUGUUUUGAUUCCUUAUAAAGAAUCAGCCUGACUGAGCAGAAUAAAAUGCUCUCAAAUAUCAAUUUUCCACACCCAUGAAUAACCUAGCUGUUUAAGCCAUGAAUCCUUAACACACAAACCAGUCACAAGGGAUAAACCCUAUGUGCAGGGCACAUACUCCGUAGAAAGAGGUCACCUUUCCAACUGAAAACUGCAUAAAUGUAAUACCUGGAGACACACAUACACACAAGUACAAACAGGUAUCUAUAAUAUUGUGUCUCAACAAGAUGCACCCUCAAAAUUAAGGUGUUUGUGUUAUUCGGCUCAUUAAAAAUACACAAACAAAGACAAAUGCUAUAUUUGUUUUGCCACUUUUGCUACUCAGUUUUAUGUAAAACAGGAUGAAAUAACAAAAAAACCCCUAAGAUUUGGAAUAAUAAGCAGCUUGCAUAAUUUGAUGAUACAUGCAUAAUCACAAUAUCUGAGAAGUCAUCUCCUUUUUCUGUGACCUUUAUAGAGAGAGAGCAACCUCAGGAUUUUUCCCCCUUCAUGGGAUGUGAGUAAGUGAGUUGUGUAGUGGAGAAUGUGUUUUAUUCAUUGUGCAUCUCUAGAGAAAAUCAGGUCACCUUCAAUGAUCUUAUCAGUCAAAGAAAAUAGUACUGCUUCACAGAGCUAUUAAAAUGGAAGAGAAUUAGAAUGUAUAAAAAGCUUUCAGAUGCCAAGAUCAAAGGGGAAAAAAGGUCAUACACUAGGCAGGGACUGUUGCCUUUGCCGAAAUUCACAAUUUUGAUUAACAUGAAGUUGUAAAUGACUACAACAGUGUAAGCAGUCAUAAUAAAAUAAAGUAAGAAACCAAGGCCAAGGACAUUACAAAAAUGCAAAGAAAAAAAAGUAAAAAAAAUAAGAACAAGUGAGGAAGAAACUAAAAGAGAAUUAGAAUAAUAUGCUUUUGGAUCAUUUGUUUAUGAUUCACAAAGCACUUUAUCAUAUAACAGGGAUUUUAACUCUCACAAAUGAGGGAGGCGUUGUUAUCCAUACUUCACAGAGGUGGAGACCAAGGCUCAAACCAUAUAAAUGUGUGCAGGUGCAAGGGACUGAGAGGCAGCAGAGCUACUAUUCACUCCCAAACCUCUCAUACAAUCAAUAGAACACUGUAAGAUCUCCAUAAAUAUUGGUGAAAUGAAUAAGCUUGCAUUUAAGCCUGUUUUUCAAAAUUCCAUAUCUAAUGCUCUUUCCAAUUAGCUGAUCCCUCAAUGAGUGAUGAAUUUAUGCAAAAGCAUUUCUAUUCUAGUUGAAACAUUGCUGACAGAUAAGUAGAUAAAAUAUUUAGUAAACCUGGAUUUUAAAAAUAGAGUCAGCAGGAUUAGUAUCUUAGGGUAACAAUGUCAAACUAGAAAGGGAAAAAAAUUGAUUCAUCUAUUUUGGUGGGAACUAAUAACAAGAAUAAUACUGUCAUUCAGCAAAUUAUGUCUUAAUUACAUUCAAGGUAAUUAAUUGAGCACUGCCUGUGUGUCAACACAGAAAUGGAAAGUAUUAUGAAUACCCAUCCCCACUUCAUCUUGAUUCAUUAAUUCUUGAUAUGUUGCCACAUUUGUGCUCUUUCUUUAUGUAUCUUUCUCUCACUGUCUCUCUCUCUCUUUCUCCUUCUCUUUCAUUUACUCUUUCUCUUUCUUUUCAUUUUUUUUGCUGAACUAUUUGAAAUUAAGUUUCAGAGACCUCCAACUUUUGCUUGGGAUGAACAAAGCUGGAAUAAAAAAGUAUUAUGCCCACUCUCAGCAUUAAAAAAGAAUUGGACAAAUUGCAAAUUCAUAACUUUUCUUGAACUAGUCAGAGAGCUGUGAUUGCAGGAAUACCAACUAACUUAAAACCUAAAAAAAGAUAUGUGCCUAUGGGGAGAGAGGGUAAGCUAGCAUUUGCUCACCUGGUAACAAAUUAGUAAAGAAGGAAUGUGGUUCAGUUGGCUGCAGGCAUAAAACAAAUUUUAACUGGCUUGUAGAUUCUCACUGUAGAAAACCUUGGGGCAAGAUAACAGGGAAAUUUGCACCCAGAAUAGGCUCUUUCCUUGGGCCCCACCAGAAGCUCAUGCACACACAAAAAAAUGACUGUGGUAGAAUCCUCAUUGUACAAAACAUGGGGAGGAGAACAGCAGCCACUGCAGGAAAGACAAGAAGUCCUGCUUGUAUCCCACCCUCCCCUAAUUCUCCUUGGGAGAAAAGCUUUAAACUGCAGGAGGAAGUGUCUUAGGGAACUAGGGAACAGCCAUUGCAGCUAGAGAUAAGAAGCAUUAAAAAUAAAACUCUACUCCCUUCCCAGAAUUACAGCUGUGGGAAACACUGGAACACGGAGGCAGCCACCUUUCUGAAACCUAAGGACAUAAUUCGCCUAAAACCAAGGCUUAAUUAGAACAGCAAUGCUCCUCUUACCACCACGCUCCCGGGCUGAAAAGCCUCCAGUGACAUCUAACAGUGAUUAAGAGCUUUGAGAGUUACAAAAGUGUGUGGGUAGAGACUCCGAGAUUGAUAUAGUUUGGAUGUUUUGUCAUCUCCAAAUCUCAUGCUGAAAUAUAACCUUUAGUGUUGGAAGUGGGCCUAGUGGGAAUAGUUUGGGUCCUGAGGGCAGAUCCCUCAUGAAUGGCUUGUGCUGUCCUUGUGGUAAUGAGUAAGUUCUCACUCAAUGAGUUUAUGCAAGAUUUGGUUGUUUAAAACGAGCCUGAUACCUUCCCCCUGUCAUUCUUGCUCCCUCUUUUGCCAUGUGAUGCUCCUGCUCCCAUUUUGCCUUCCCCUAUGAGUGGAAGUGUCCUGAGACUCUCACCAGAAGAUGUUGGCACCGUGCUUCUUGUACAGCCUGCAGAACCACGAGCCAAAAUAGGCUUCUUUUCUUUAUAAAUUGCACAGCCUCAGGAUUUCCUUUUACAUAGGAAUGCAAUGCAAAUGGACUAACAGAGAGUUGCAGUGUGAAGAGAUUACCCUAAAGAUGGGAGUGAAACAGACUACUCUCUGGCAAACCAGUCCUCACUCUAAACACAAGUAUAACCAAAGGAAGUGGAAGCCAGUGGUAGAGUGCAAGCAUAACAAACCCAAACCCAGCACAACUACUGACUACAUUGCUCAAACUUCCACACUAACGACCUAUCAGAAGUAAAAACAUGCCUAUUCUUAGGUUUAGAAACUAUUUAGUCUCCACUCUUUUGGACAAAAUGUCGAGCUUCAGCAAAAAGUUAUUAAGCAUAUGAGAAAACAGUGGGGGGAAGGAAACUACCAAGAGACAAAGCAAUCAACAGAACCAGAAUCAGAUAUGACAUAGGUAUUGGAACUAUCACAUAGAGAAUUUGAAAUAACUCUAAUUCAUAUAUUGAAGCUCUACUGGAAAACACAGACAAUAUGCAUCAUCAGCAGGCUAAUUUCAAUAGAUAGAUGGUAAAAAUCAAGUAGAAAUCUAGGAAUGGAAAACAUAGUAGCAGUGAUGAAGAAACCUUCAUCUUAUCAGUAGACUUGACAUAUCAAAGGAAAGAUUUGGUAGACUUGAAGAUGUCAUUAAGGAAUUCCUAAACUAAAACACAAAGAGAGAAAGAGUGAAUAAAGCAGAACAGAGCAUCUAAGAGCUGAGUGUAAUUGGAAUCCUGGAAGAAUAAAGUAAGAAAAGUGCAGGGGAGGCCGGGCGUGGUGGCUCAUGCCUGUAAUCCC
RNAcentral lists this long non-coding RNA (9167 nucleotides) under Homo sapiens (human). Its description in RNAcentral is "HSALNT0309997". The record is from RNAcentral. Lineage: Eukaryota; Metazoa; Chordata; Mammalia; Primates; Hominidae.